This 373-nucleotide ribosomal RNA is filed under the name Holothuria forskali. Its description in RNAcentral is "partial 28S LSU ribosomal RNA". It matches the Rfam family "Eukaryotic large subunit ribosomal RNA", at positions 1 to 364 of the family's 3401-position model. The record is from RNAcentral. Lineage: Eukaryota; Metazoa; Echinodermata; Holothuroidea; Aspidochirotida; Holothuriidae.
NNNGACCUCAGAUCGGNCGAGAUAACCCGCUGAAUUUAAGCAUAUCACUAAGCGGAGGAAAAGAAACUAACAAGGAUUCCCCUAGUAGCGGCGAGCGAAGGGGGAAAAGCCCAGCGCUGAAUCCCCGUGCCCUGUCGGUGCGAGGGAACUGUAGCGUAAGGAAACUGAAUUCCGUGCGUNGCGNNCGUCGGCUGUCCUCCUUGAGUGGGGCUCCGUAGCGGGNGUAAGGCCCGUACGGNGGUGGCUCGGNNGGAAGGAUGCUUUCCAAGAGUCGGGUUGUUUUGGAAUGCAGCCNNAAGACGGGNNGUGAAUUCCAUCCAAGGCUAAAUAUUAAGCACGAGACCGAUAGACGACAAGUACCGUGAGGGAANNN